Molecule: long non-coding RNA, 1479 nt
Organism: Limulus polyphemus (Atlantic horseshoe crab)
Lineage: Eukaryota; Metazoa; Arthropoda; Merostomata; Xiphosura; Limulidae
Exons: 2
Source: RefSeq, a predicted model, not a curated record
UCAGUAGGUUUUUUUUACAGGUUAUACCGUAGAGAGGGUUUAAAGAACUGAAAUGGUUGUUGUUUUUGUAUUAUAACAGCUUUUUUUAAGAAACAACAGCUAGAGAAACACUUGGAAACUCACGGACAACAAACCGUAAAUGAACAAGUCGCAACUGAAAUAUGUGCUGCAGCAGAAGAGAAACAGUCAGUUACAGAAGAAUCAUCUAGCCUGACCCUUGAGGGAGAACAGAAACAGUCAAAGGACAGAGAAUUAAUCCAAUUAAUCUGUGCAACUUGUCAUAAAGGUUUUGACUCCGAGGACCAAUUUGCAAUCCACGUUUGUUCGGGCCAUCCCAAGUAGGUUUACACAACAGUGGUGCUCUGUUUGAUUGGAAAAUGAAGUUGUAGGUUACCCGUGUUACGACGUUUUUACUUCAUUGAAGGUUUUACUUGGUAACAUUAGCAAAUGUUCAUAGCAUAAAGUUUAUUUCUGUCAAUUCCCUGGUGAAUGGUUUAUCAAGAAAUUCAUACAUUUUAAUAAAAGAGUGAUGUUCUGAAAUUACCAUGACCGUGAAAAUUAAUAUUUGUAAAUUAUAUCCUGUUAGAUAUGUCCUUAUAAUCAGUUCUGAAAGGUUUUAUGCUGUGAUUUUAAUAGAUAUCAUGAAAUUUCUCAAGAAGUACGUGUGUUUUCAGUUAUUUUUCGGGGAAAAAAACCAGCUUUUAACAUCAUAUAAUUCUCCAUUAGCUAAUGGAAUAUAUAUGUGUGUGUGUGUGUGUGUUUGUUUUCUUUUAUUUCUUAUUAUUGUAUCUUGUAUAACAUUCUGUUGGUCAUGUAGAAUUGUAAACCUAGUAAUAAUAUUAAGUUACUGUUAGUGGAGGUUUGGAUAUCUGACAAUAAACACGAUAACAUUUGUGUAAAAUAUUAAAACAAGCUACUUUACACUUUGGAAGGUAAGAGUAUUUUUAAGGCAAGUUUGUAGUUUUUGUAUAUAUUUAAACCUGUUAUUCGUGUUCAGUGAUCAAGUUUUCAAAUAUCAGUAAUUAAUUGUAUUUUUUCAUCUCAGAGAAGUCUUGUUGCUGCUAUCAUGAUAUGUAAGAAAACACAGAUUAACGAGGUGUUUUGUACAACUUUUAUUUGUCGCACGCACACACACACAAUUGUUUUUAAGUUGAGAUGGUCAUCUCUCUUCCUUUUGCACCAACAUAAUUCAUGUGACUGAGUUUAUGGAUUGGGUGCUUUUAAUGGCCACUGAACGGUGUUAUUCAUCAUGAGUCAAACAAGUGAUUUAAAAAUUGGGUUUGAAUAGAAUUUCUAGCUUUCUCAAUGAUACGACAUCCACACUUUGUUGUUUUCAUAAUACUUGAAAUCAAGUAUUUUCCAGUCACUGAAUUGUAACGAUUCAUUGUUGGGCCACGGAAGACGUUGUUAUGGUUUCUUAUAUAUAUUUUAAACUAAAAUAAACUGAUGUUUGACAACUUGAUGACUUACAUCAACAAA